UACGGGGGGGGCAAGCGUUGUUCGGAAUUACUGGGCGUAAAGCGCGCGUAGGCGGCUUUGUAAGUUAGAGGUGAAAGCCCGGGGCUCAACUCCGGAAUUGCCUUUAAGACUGCAUCGCUAGAAUCCGGGAGAGGUGAGUGGAAUUCCGAGUGUAGAGGUGAAAUUCGUAGAUAUUCGGAAGAACACCAGUGGCGAAGGCGGCUCACUGGACCGGCAUUGACGCUGAGGUGCGAAAGCGUGGGGAGCAAACAGG
RNAcentral lists this ribosomal RNA (253 nucleotides) under uncultured bacterium. RNAcentral's name for it is "partial 16S ribosomal RNA". It matches the Rfam family "Bacterial small subunit ribosomal RNA", at positions 524 to 776 of the family's 1533-position model. The record is from RNAcentral.